Molecule: long non-coding RNA, 772 nt
Filed under: Gossypium barbadense (sea-island cotton)
Lineage: Eukaryota; Viridiplantae; Streptophyta; Magnoliopsida; Malvales; Malvaceae
Description: long non-coding RNA (GBAR_LNC001245)
Source: RNAcentral
UCGAAUCCCAGGUCCACAAGCUCCGCCGCCCCUCCAGCUCGUCUACGUGACGGAACGCAAUGGGAUGCCGAAUAUUUACUACGACGCGCUUUAUUACAGUGCGCCGGGAAGUACUAGAUCGAGAUCGGCACUUGAAGUUCCCGUCCGACUUCAGGCUCCGUUGUUGGGUUUAGAAGAAAGCAAGAAUCGGGUUUCAAUGAAAGAUAGGCCGAGUUUGAGUGGAGAGAAUUUGAUUUACGUGUCAACUCAUGAGGACCCAGGUGAACCCAGGACGAGUUGGGCUGCUGUGUACUCGACUCAUUUAGGAACCGGGUUGACUCGACGACUCACUCCUUCCGGAAUCGCCGACUUUAGCCCCGCCGUGUCUCCAUCUGGGGUUUGGACAGCUGUGGCUUCGUAUGGGAAAGAAGGGUGGGGUGGGGAAGUGGAAGAACUGAGUACUGAUAUUUAUGUUUUCUUGACUCGUGAUGGGACUCACCGAGUCAAGGUUGUUGAACACGGUGGGUGGCCGUGUUGGGUUGAUGACUCAACUCUGUACUUCCAUAGGAGAAGUGAAGACCAGUGGAUAAGCGUUUACAAAGCAACUUUCCCUAAAAACAAACCCGUUUCUACCGAGUCGGUGACGAUUCAGCGAGUCACACCACCGGGUCUCCACGCUUUCACCCCAGCUACAUCCCCAGGUAACCAUAAGUUCAUAGCAGUAGCUACAAGAAGACCCAAUUCAAGUUUUCGCCACAUAGAACUGUUUGACACUGUUAAAAACGAGUUUAUU